Molecule: long non-coding RNA, 1268 nt
Filed under: Piliocolobus tephrosceles (Ugandan red Colobus)
Lineage: Eukaryota; Metazoa; Chordata; Mammalia; Primates; Cercopithecidae
Description: lncRNA (ENSPTEG00000005658.1)
Source: RNAcentral
ACAAUGUUUCUAACAAUAUAAAAAUGUAUAAUAUAUAUAAACACAAUUCUUUAAAACAUACAAAACUAAUUGAUAUAAACAAUGAUUUAUUUAAAAAAAUUAAUAAUACUAUUGGUAAAUUAAAUAUUGUAUUUAUUCCUACUAAAGCCAAUGCAGAAACAUUAAAAAAAGAAUUACCUUUUAUGUUUUUAAAUAAUAAAAAUAAUGACAAAAGUGAUAAAUAUUUAGUUUGGAUCGCAUCAGAAUUAAGUGAUACUAACUUUAAUGAUAUAAAUGUAAACUUGUAUAAAAUGAACCAAAUGGAGAAAAAUAUCAACAGUAGUAUUGUUAAUGUGGGUAAUGGUACGACAAUCACAACAGUCACAACAACCACUGCUAUAACUAACAACAAUAACAGCAGUAAUAGCAGUAAUAGCAGUAAUAGCAGUAACAAAAGUAACAGCAGUAAUAGCAGUAAUAGCAGUAAUAGCAGUAAUAGCAGUAAUAGCAGUAACAACAGUAACAAAAGUAACAGCAGUAAUAGCAGUAACAAAAGUAACAGCAGUAACAGCAGUAACAACAGUAACAACAGUAACAAAAGUAACAACAGUAACAACAGUAACAAAAGUAACAACAGUAACAACAGUAACAACAGUAACAACAGUAACAACAGUAACAAAAGUAACAGCAGUAACAACAGUAACAAAAGUAACAGUAGUAACAACAGUAACAAAAGCGGUAACAGCCACAUCAAUUGUUUACGAAUAAACUGCUAUGAUACAAAACCAAUAACAUAUACAAAUAAAAAAAUUAAAAAAAAUGCUAUUGUAUGUUUCAUGAGUAAUAGCGCGAUUUCGUCCUUUUAUAAAAAUUUUGGUUUUAAUUUUGACUAUGCUGUGUGCAUGGGUAAAACUUGUUUUCAACUUUUAAAAGAUUUAAAAUUUCAAAAACAAAUACUUUUUCCUUCCAAUUCUACACUAGAAUCUUUUUUAAAAAUUCUAAUAAAUUUAUAUAAUAAAUUAAAAAAAAACGAAAAAAAGGAAUAUUAUGUUUUAUUAACUAGAGAAAAAAACAAAAAUAAAGAAAUCAUAAAAGAACUACAGGAACAUAAUAUACCUUUUCAAAUAAUUCCAUGUAUAAUGACGCAGUAUAACUUUACAAAAAUUAUGCAGCUGUAUUUCACUGUUUAUUCGUAUGUUAAUAAAGCGGCUCAAACGGAUGGAAAAACGAAUGGAUAAAUGGGUAGGCAAAAAAAUAAAAGCUAUUUUUUUUGCGCUGUUUUUUUUUUU